UCUCGAUUGGUCUAGUGGUGAGGAUACCUGCUUGUCAUCAGCAUCUUAGUGUUCCCGAAAGUGGAACGCAGGAGCCGUUAAAUCAAGCCGCAGGUGGCCGGGGUUCGAUUCCCCGAUCGAGAG
Molecule: non-coding RNA, 123 nt
Organism: Ustulina deusta
Lineage: Eukaryota; Fungi; Ascomycota; Sordariomycetes; Xylariales; Xylariaceae
Source: the annotation of a GenBank genome assembly